This 501-nucleotide ribosomal RNA is filed under the name uncultured bacterium. RNAcentral's name for it is "partial 16S ribosomal RNA". It matches the Rfam family "Bacterial small subunit ribosomal RNA", at positions 30 to 523 of the family's 1533-position model. The record is from RNAcentral.
AUUGAACGCUGGCGGCAGGCUUAACACAUGCAAGUCGAGCGGGGGAAGGUAGCUUGCUACCGGACCUAGCGGCGGACGGGUGAGUAAUGCUUAGGAAUCUGCCUAUUAGUGGGGGACAACAUCUCGAAAGGGAUGCUAAUACCGCAUACGUCCUACGGGAGAAAGCAGGGGAUCUUCGGACCUUGCGCUAAUAGAUGAGCCUAAGUCGGAUUAGCUAGUUGGUGGGGUAAAGGCCUACCAAGGCGACGAUCUGUAGCGGGUCUGAGAGGAUGAUCCGCCACACGGGGACUGGAACGCGGCCCAGACUCCUACGGGAGGCAGCAGUGGGGAAUAUUGGACAAUGGGGGGAACCCUGAUCCAGCCAUGCCGCGUGUGUGAAGAAGGCCUUAUGGUUGUAAAGCACUUUAAGCGAGGAGGAGGCUACUUUAGUUAAUACCUAGAGAUAGUGGACGUUACUCGCAGAAUAAGCACCGGCUAACUCUGUGCCAGCCGCCGCAGUAA